RNAcentral lists this ribosomal RNA (877 nucleotides) under uncultured Comamonadaceae bacterium. Its description in RNAcentral is "bacterial SSU rRNA". It matches the Rfam family "Bacterial small subunit ribosomal RNA". The record is from RNAcentral. Lineage: Bacteria; Pseudomonadati; Pseudomonadota; Betaproteobacteria; Burkholderiales; Comamonadaceae.
AUUGAACGCUGGCGGCAUGCCUUACACAUGCAAGUCGAACGGCAGCACGGGAGCAAUCCUGGUGGCGAGUGGCGAACGGGUGAGUAAUACAUCGGAACGUGCCCAAUCGUGGGGGAUAACGCAGCGAAAGCUGUGCUAAUACCGCAUACGAUCUACGGAUGAAAGCAGGGGAUCGCAAGACCUUGCGCGAAUGGAGCGGCCGAUGGCAGAUUAGGUAGUUGGUGAGGUAAAGGCUCACCAAGCCGUCGAUCUGUAGCUGGUCUGAGAGGACGACCAGCCACACUGGGACUGAGACACGGCCCAGACUCCUACGGGAGGCAGCAGUGGGGAAUUUUGGACAAUGGGCGAAAGCCUGAUCCAGCCAUGCCGCGUGCAGGAUGAAGGCCUUCGGGUUGUAAACUGCUUUUGUACGGAACGAAACGGCCUUUUCUAAUAAAGAGGGCUAAUGACGGUACCGUAAGAAUAAGCACCGGCUAACUACGUGCCAGCAGCCGCGGUAAUACGUAGGGUGCAAGCGUUAAUCGGAAUUACUGGGCGUAAAGCGUGCGCAGGCGGUUAUGUAAGACAGUUGUGAAAUCCCCGGGCUCAACCUGGGAACUGCAUCUGUGACUGCAUAGCUAGAGUACGGUAGAGGGGGGAUGGAAUUCCGCGUGUAGCAGUGAAAUGCGUAGAUAUGCGGAGGAACACCGAUGGCGAAGGCAAUCCCCUGGACCUGUACUGACGCUCAUGCACGAAAGCGUGGGGAGCAAACAGGAUAUAUACCCUUUAGCCCAAGGGCGAAUUCCCAGUGGGUAUCAAGCUUUUCAUCCCGUCGACCUCGGGGGGGGCCGGUACCAACUUUUGUUCUUUAUUGAGGGAAAUGAGGCUUGAGAAUCAG